This 442-nucleotide ribosomal RNA is filed under the name uncultured bacterium. RNAcentral's name for it is "bacterial SSU rRNA". It matches the Rfam family "Bacterial small subunit ribosomal RNA", at positions 337 to 795 of the family's 1533-position model. The record is from RNAcentral.
GCCUACGGGUGGCAGCAGUAGGGAAUAUUGCACAAUGGGCGAAAGCCUGAUGCAGCAACGCCGCGUGCGCGAAGAAGGUCUUCGGAUCGUAAAGCGCUUUUCUGGGAGAUGAGAAAGGACAGUAUCCCAGGAAUAAGUCUCGGCUAACUACGUGCCAGCAGCCGCGGUAACACGUAGGAGGCGAGCGUUAUCCGGAUUCACUGGGCGUAAAGCGCGUGCAGGCGGUUUGGUAAGUUGGGCGUGAAAGCUCCCGGCUCAACUGGGAGAGGUCGUCCAAUACUACCAGACUAGAGUACGGUAGAGGAAAAUGGAAUUCCCGGUGUAGUGGUGAAAUGCGUAGAUAUCGGGAGGAACACCAGUGGCGAAAGCGAUUUUCUGGACCGUUACUGACGCUCAGACGCGAAAGCUAGGGUAGCAAACGGGAUUAGAUACCCUAGUAGUC